Molecule: transfer RNA, 74 nt
Filed under: Opisthocomus hoazin
Lineage: Eukaryota; Metazoa; Chordata; Aves; Opisthocomiformes; Opisthocomidae
Rfam family: tRNA
About the family: Transfer RNA (tRNA) molecules are approximately 80 nucleotides in length. Their secondary structure includes four short double-helical elements and three loops (D, anti-codon, and T loops).
Source: Rfam by way of RNAcentral
GUCACUGAGGCUCAGCAAGUGAAAGCAUCUGCCUCAGAAGCAGAGGAUCCUGGAGACAGCUCCCAGCAGUGCCU